Molecule: ribosomal RNA, 261 nt
Filed under: uncultured bacterium
Lineage: Bacteria
Description: partial 16S ribosomal RNA
Rfam family: Bacterial small subunit ribosomal RNA
Source: RNAcentral
CUGCCCUUAGUUGCCAGCGGGUAAAGCCGGGCACUCUAAGGGACUGCCGGCGAUGAGCCGGAGGAAGGUGGGGAUGACGUCAAGUCAGUAUGCCCCUUAUGCCCUGGGCUACACACGCGCUACAAUGGGUGGUACAGAGGGGAGCGAAACCGCGAGGUGGAGCGAAUCCCGAAAGCCACCCCCAGUUCGGAUCGCAGGCUGCAACUCGCCUGCGUGAAGGCGGAAUCGCUAGUAACCGCAGAUCAGCCACGCUGCGGUGAA